Molecule: ribosomal RNA, 831 nt
Filed under: Neurospora sp.
Lineage: Eukaryota; Fungi; Ascomycota; Sordariomycetes; Sordariales; Sordariaceae
Description: partial large subunit ribosomal RNA
Rfam family: Eukaryotic large subunit ribosomal RNA
Source: RNAcentral
AANUUUAGAUAUCAAUAAGCGGAGGAAAAGAAACCAACAGGGAUUGCCCUAGUAACGGCGAGUGAAGCGGCAACAGCUCAAAUUUGAAAUCUGGCUUCGGCCCGAGUUGUAAUUUGUAGAGGAAGCUUUUGGUGAGGCACCUUCUGAGUCCCCUGGAACGGGGCGCCAUAGAGGGUGAGAGCCCCGUAUAGUCGGAUGCCGAUCCAAUGUAAAGCUCCUUCGACGAGUCGAGUAGUUUGGGAAUGCUGCUCAAAAUGGGAGGUAAAUUUCUUCUAAAGCUAAAUACCGGCCAGAGACCGAUAGCGCACAAGUAGAGUGAUCGAAAGAUGAAAAGCACUUUGAAAAGAGGGUUAAAUAGCACGUGAAAUUGUUGAAAGGGAAGCGUUUGUGACCAGACUUGCGCCGUUCCGAUCAUCCGGUGUUCUCACCGGUGCACUCGGGGCGGCUCAGGCCAGCAUCGGUUUUGGUGGGGGGAUAAAGGUUCGGGGAACGUAGCUCCUCCGGGAGUGUUAUAGCCCCGGGCGUAAUGCCCUCGCCGGGACCGAGGUUCGCGCAUCUGCAAGGAUGCUGGCGUAAUGGUCAUCAACGACCCGUCUUGAAACACGGACCAAGGAGUCAAGGUUUUGCGCGAGUGUUUGGGUGUAAAACCCGCACGCGUAAUGAAAGUGAACGUAGGUGAGAGCUUCGGCGCAUCAUCGACCGAUCCUGAUGUAUUCGGAUGGAUUUGAGUAAGAGCGUUAAGCCUUGGACCCGAAAGAUGGUGAACUAUGCUUGGAUAGGGUGAAAGCCAGAGGAAACUCUGGUGGAGGCUCGCAGCGGUUCUGACGUNAA